Molecule: ribosomal RNA, 395 nt
Filed under: uncultured bacterium
Lineage: Bacteria
Description: partial 16S ribosomal RNA
Rfam family: Bacterial small subunit ribosomal RNA
Source: RNAcentral
CCUACGGGAGGCAGCAGUGAGGAAUAUUGGUCAAUGGACGUAAGCCUGAACCAGCCAAGUCGCGUGAGGGAUGAAGGUUCUAUGGAUUGUAAACCUCUUUUAUAAGGGAAUAAAGUGCGGGACGUGUCCCGCUUUGUGUGUACCUGAUGAAUAAGGAUCGGCUAACUCCGUGCCAGCAGCCGCGGUAAUACGGAGGAUCCGAGCGUUAUCCGGAUUUAUUGGGUUUAAAGGGUGCGUAGGCGGGCUUUUAAGUCAGCGGUGAAAUUCUGUGGCUCAACCCUCGAAUUGCCGUUGAAACUGGGAGGCGUGAGUGUGUGUGAGGCAGGCGGAAUGCGUGGUGUAGCGGUGAAAUGCAUAGAUAUCACGCAGAACCCCGAUUGCGAAGGCAGCAUGCC